CCUACGGGAGGCUGCAGUGGGGAAUAUUGGACAAUGGGGGGAACCCUGAUCCAGCCAUGCCGCGCGUGUGAAGAAGGCCCUCGGGUUGUAAAGCACUUUCAGUGAGGAAGAACGCCUGGUGGUUAAUACCCAUCAGGAAAGACAUCACUCACAGAAGAAGCACCGGCUAACUCCGUGCCAGCAGCCGCGGUAAUACGGAGGGUGCGAGCGUUAAUCGGAAUUACUGGGCGUAAAGCGCGCGUAGGUGGCUUGAUAAGCCGGUUGUGAAAGCCCCGGGCUCAACCUGGGAACGGCAUCCGGAACUGUCAAGCUAGAGUGCAGGAGAGGAAGGUAGAAUUCCCGGUGUAGCGGUGAAAUGCGUAGAGAUCGGGAGGAAUACCAGUGGCGAAGGCGGCCUUCUGGACUGACACUGACACUGAGGUGCGAAAGCGUGGGUAGCAAACAGGAUUAGAUACCCUUGUAGUC
Molecule: ribosomal RNA, 465 nt
Filed under: Vreelandella stevensii
Lineage: Bacteria; Pseudomonadati; Pseudomonadota; Gammaproteobacteria; Oceanospirillales; Halomonadaceae
Description: partial 16S ribosomal RNA
Rfam family: Bacterial small subunit ribosomal RNA
Source: RNAcentral